GACGAACCGUGCGAACGUUAUUCGGAAUCACUGGGCUUAAAGCGCGUGUAGGCGGAUGGCCACGUCGGGCGCUGAAAUCCCCCGGCUCAACCGGGGAACGGGCACCGAUACGGGCCGUCUGGAGGGAGGUAGGGGGGGCUGGAACUUCCGGUGGAGCGGUGAAAUGCGUUGAGAUCGGAAGGAACGCCCGUGGCGAAAGCGAGCCCCUGGACCUUUUCUGACGCUGAGACGCGAAAGCUAGGGGAGCGAACGGG
Molecule: ribosomal RNA, 254 nt
Filed under: uncultured prokaryote
Description: partial 16S ribosomal RNA
Rfam family: Bacterial small subunit ribosomal RNA
Source: RNAcentral